Molecule: ribosomal RNA, 502 nt
Filed under: uncultured bacterium
Lineage: Bacteria
Description: partial 16S ribosomal RNA
Rfam family: Bacterial small subunit ribosomal RNA
Source: RNAcentral
GACGAACGCUGGCGGCGUGCCUAAUACAUGCAAGUCGAACGAACCGCGACUAGGUGCUUGCACUUGGUCAAGGUGAGUGGCGAACGGGUGAGUAACACGUGGGUAACCUACCUCAUAGUGGGGGAUAACAGUCGGGAACGACUGCUAAUACCGCAUAGGACAUAGGAUCACAUGAUCCAGUGAGGAAAGGUGGCGCAAGCUAUCGCUAAGAGAUGGACCCGCGGUGCAUUAGCUAGUUGGUAGGGUAAAGGCCUACCAAGGCGAUGAUGCAUAGCCGACCUGAGAGGGUGAUCGGCCACAUUGGGACUGAGACACGGCCCAAACUCCUACGGGAGGCAGCAGUAGGGAAUCUUCCGCAAUGGACGCAAGUCUGACGGAGCAACGCCGCGUGAGUGAAGAAGGUCUUCGGAUCGUAAAGCUCUGUUGUUAGAGAAGAACAGCGCAUAGAGUAACUGUUAUGCGUGUGACGGUAUCUAACCAGAAAGCCACGGCUAACUACGUG